This 29-nucleotide non-coding RNA is filed under the name Mus musculus (house mouse). The record is from RNAcentral. Lineage: Eukaryota; Metazoa; Chordata; Mammalia; Rodentia; Muridae.
UGCCAGUACUGAUAUUUGAACAUGCUGAA